AGAGUUAAUUGCAUAGACCCCCCUGUGUUAUUUCUCGGAAGCAAAAAACCCCCCCGGAAAAAUAAAUUAGCAUAUAACCCCCUAUGUUGUGUUUUAGUCAGCCCACCGCCCCUUUGUGUGCACUGGCUCGUUGACUUACAUGAAAUGACAGAAUUGCCCUGAAUAAAAAAUAAAGCAAAAAAGAAAAAAAAAUCAAACUAAUUUAAUUAUAAAUAACCUAAAUUUAGAGGACCAAAUUGUAAUUUCCAAAGUUUACACCUUCUUCCCCAUUUCCGUCAGCACCGCCGCCGUCUGGCCCUCCGACACCCACCCACUCCUUCAAAUUUCUCUCCCUCUACACUGCCGCCGUCUCGAAUCACCGCCGCCCACCCCUCGUUCAAAUUCCUCUCCUCGACACCUUACCCCAGAGCCCUUCAACUUUGUCAGCUACCAUCUUCUUCCCGUAAGCCCCCCCUCCCCCUAAAAUUCUUUACCAGACAAAGCACCACCACAUCCAUCCCCCAACCCCACCUGCCCCAACUCUUCCUACCUGUCAACAAUGCGCCGGGGCGACUACACCAACGGUAUCACGUCGUGACGGCGUCGAUUUUGAUUUCUCCUUGAGAAGUCGGCAAAAAAUAAAAAUCAAAAAAUCCAAUUUAAAUAUCUCCGAAGCCCUUCGCCGGAGGAUAUUGAGGCGAGUUUUGCUUCGAUUUGUUCGGAUUUGUGUCCAUCUAUUGGGAAUUUGGAUUCUCAGGUGUUGUGAAGGAAUUUGGUUAAACACGAUUCAUUUUACGAUUUUCUUCAGCCAUGUUUGGACGCGGAAAAAGAUUACUCAAGCAGUCUAGGAGUGCAAGAAAUAUCAGGUUCCCAGCUUUAUUUACGCUUCUGAUAUUGAUAAUGGAACAGCUUCGACUCUUUGGUUCAGUUAAAUCCGACGGUAGAAUUAAGAAAUGGGACUGAUUUGAUAUGGCAGAUACCAGACUUGCCUAAGGCGGUUCUCUUCUUGGCUCAUGGUUGUAAUGGCAGAGCACUUAAUUUUUGGGAUAAGUCUCGUAAUUGCCCAAAUUGUGUUGGUUUGCCCGAAGAGAGGCUCAUUGUUCUUGUGGUGGCAUUUACGGGCGGUGAUAGGGUAUUGUCGAGAGUUAUGGUGAGGUGAACGGGGAUAUAGUGGAAGGGGCAGUCCUAGACGAUAGAAGAAGUGGUAGGGGUCUGCGAAGCGGAGAUGGGCCAUGGGAGAGCUGGGGUUUGACAUUAUAGUGGUGGUUUUAGGUGUAGUGAAGAAGAGGGUAUUUCAUAAAAUAUGAGGGACUGAAUUGAUAAUUUAGAAAACUUUAAUUUGUCCUAAAAUGUCCUAAAACGCACGCCCAGCUGCAUGAACCGCGAGUGUAUCCCACGAUUCGCUCGUAGGGUCCUUAUUGUCAUUGACUUCCUUUCAUAGGGGGGUAU
Non-coding RNA from Erythranthe guttata (spotted monkey flower), 1428 nucleotides. The record is from RefSeq and is a predicted model, not a curated record. NCBI's taxonomy places the organism in Eukaryota, Viridiplantae, Streptophyta, Magnoliopsida, Lamiales, Phrymaceae.